Molecule: ribosomal RNA, 720 nt
Filed under: uncultured bacterium
Lineage: Bacteria
Description: bacterial SSU rRNA
Rfam family: Bacterial small subunit ribosomal RNA
Source: RNAcentral
GACUGUACCCUAAGAAUAAGGUCCGGCUAACUUCGUGCCAGCAGCCGCGGUAAUACGAAGGGACCUAGCGUAGUUCGGAAUUACUGGGCGUAAAGCGCGCGUAGGCCGUUGAGUUAGUUAAUUGUGAAAUCCCAAAGCUUAACUUUGGAACUGCAAUUAAAACUGCUCGACUAGAGUUUGAUAGAGGAAAGCGGAAUACAUAGUGUAGAGGUGAAAUUCGUAGAUAUUAUGUAGAACACCAGUUGCGAAGGCGGCUUUCUGGAUCAACACUGACGCUGAGGCGCGAAAGUAUGGGUAGCAAAGAGGAUUAGAUACCCUCGUAGUCCAUACCAUAAACGAUGAUUGCUAGAUGUUGGAAAUUUAUUUUCAGUAUCGCAGCUAACGCAUUAAGCAAUCCGCCUGGGGAGUACGACCGCAAGGUUAAAACUCAAAUGAAUUGACGGGGACCCGCACAAGCGGUGGAGCAUGUGGUUUAAUUCGAAGAUACGCGCAGAACCUUACCAACCCUUGACAUGUCUGUCACGAGUUUAGGAAACUAGACUUUUCGGUUCGGCCGGACAGAACACAGGUGCUGCAUGGCUGUCGUCAGCUCGUGUCGUGAGAUGUUGGGUUAAGUCCCGCAACGAGCGCAACCCCUACUUUUAGUUGCCAUCAGGUCAUGCUGGGCACUCUGAAAGAACUGCCAGUGAUAAGCUGGAGGAAGGUGGGGAUGACGUCAAG